GGGCGCAAGCCUGAUGCAGCCAUGCCGCGUGUGUGAAGAAGGCCUUCGGGUUGUAAAGUACUUUCAGUCGUGAGGAAGGCGGCGUCGUUAAUAGCGGCGUUGUUUGACGUUAGCGACAGAAGAAGCACCGGCUAACUCCGUGCCAGCAGCCGCGGUAAUACGGAGGGUGCGAGCGUUAAUCGGAAUUACUGGGCGUAAAGCGCAUGCAGGUGGUUUGUUAAGUCAGAUGUGAAAGCCCGGGGCUCAACCUCGGAAUAGCAUUUGAAACUGGCAGACUAGAGUACUGUAGAGGGGGGUAGAAUUUCAGGUGUAGCGGUGAAAUGCGUAGAGAUCUGAAGGAAUACCGGUGGCGAAGGCGGCCCCCUGGACAGAUACUGACACUCAGAUGCGAAAGCGUGGGGAGCAAACAGGAUUAGAUACCCUGGUAGUCCACGCCGUAAACGAUGUCUACUUGGAGGUUGUGGCCUUGAGCCGUGG
Molecule: ribosomal RNA, 477 nt
Filed under: Vibrio alginolyticus
Lineage: Bacteria; Pseudomonadati; Pseudomonadota; Gammaproteobacteria; Vibrionales; Vibrionaceae
Description: bacterial SSU rRNA
Rfam family: Bacterial small subunit ribosomal RNA
Source: RNAcentral